AUUUGCGUAAACCUGCAUAUAAAAUCCUAGUGACCUUCAUCGUUAGUUGGUGCAUGUUGAAGCCUCAUGUGUUUUAAUAUUUUAUUUUCCGCCUAAAUAAAAAAACUCAAACAUGUGUGUGUGUUUUUGUGAUUUAAUCCAAAAUCUUUUUCUUGGCACAAUUAGGUCAGAUUUCUGAAAUUAGUAGAAAUAUUAUCCAAAUUUUUAAAUUAAUUUGGGAAAAGUGUGCUUCAGCUGACAUGGCCAACCAGCUAGAUUAUUUUAGUAUAAAUAUGUGAGAGCGAGGCCCACAUGCCACAUCAUUAAAAUGAAAAAAAAAUUCUAGCCAUGGUUUCUUGUUAUUGAUCUUGAUUAAUCAAGGAUAAAAUUGUAAUUUCAUAUGAAAAAUAAUCUGAGCUCUUAAUUAAAAGCACAAAUUAUUAAAUCAAAUGCCCAUUUCUUUAUACCAGGGCAGCCUCCCAACACCUCACAUAUUUCUGUCCACUUCCUACCACAACUGCAAACACCAUUUUUUCCCAUUUUCGACUUUUUGUCACACUUGAGCUCAAAUGAUUGCAAAACGAAGGGAGUGAGAAACCAGAAACCAUAAAACCUCCAUUUCCACUGCAUUUGCAUCACAUUUCGCCAUCAAAGCCAACAAACUGAAACCCAAGCCCAAAUUUCAUUAAUUUAUUUCUUAUUCAUCCAUCUGGAGCUCACAAAACAUUAAAACACAAACACUUUUAUCUGAAAUCCAGUUUCUAAUUUGUUUUACCGCAAAUUGCUUUUCAUCUGUUUUUCUGCUAAUUGAUGCUGAAGAGGGAAGGAAGAUAGGGAUUCCUUGAACUUGAUAUCACAGAAGAAGAGUAUAGUGUAGGAUAUAGAGGAUUUGUCGUGGUUGUUGAGGAUGAAGGAGGAGGUGAGGAGAGAAAACUUUCUGUUGAGGUCUUGGAGGUGGAGCUCGU
RNAcentral lists this unclassified non-coding RNA (944 nucleotides) under Hevea brasiliensis (rubber tree). The record is from RNAcentral. Lineage: Eukaryota; Viridiplantae; Streptophyta; Magnoliopsida; Malpighiales; Euphorbiaceae.